CGACCCUUAAGCCUCUGUUGCUUAGUGUUGGGAGCCUACGAUUAUAGCGUAGCUCCUUAAAGUUAGUUGGCGGAGUUAGGGUACACUCUCAGCGUAGUAAACAUUUUUCUCGCUGUUGUAGUUGCCUUAGCUGUUGCCAUUAAACCUGUCUAUUAUUUAGUAAGG
Molecule: unclassified non-coding RNA, 165 nt
Filed under: uncultured Whalleya
Lineage: Eukaryota; Fungi; Ascomycota; Sordariomycetes; Xylariales; Xylariaceae
Description: sequence contains ITS2
Source: RNAcentral